GGCCCCGUCGUCUAGCCUGGUCCAGGACUCCAGGUUUUCAUCCUGGCAACGCGGGUUCAAAUCCCGCCGGGGUCA
Molecule: transfer RNA, 75 nt
Filed under: Phycisphaerales bacterium
Lineage: Bacteria; Pseudomonadati; Planctomycetota; Phycisphaerae; Phycisphaerales
Description: tRNA-Glu
Rfam family: tRNA
About the family: Transfer RNA (tRNA) molecules are approximately 80 nucleotides in length. Their secondary structure includes four short double-helical elements and three loops (D, anti-codon, and T loops). Further hydrogen bonds mediate the characteristic L-shaped molecular structure. tRNAs have two regions of fundamental functional importance: the anti-codon, which is responsible for specific mRNA codon recognition, and the 3' end, to which the tRNAs corresponding amino acid is attached (by aminoacyl-tRNA synthetases). tRNAs cope with the degeneracy of the genetic code in two manners: having more than one tRNA (with a specific anti-codon) for a particular amino acid; and 'wobble' base-pairing, i.e. permitting non-standard base-pairing at the 3rd anti-codon position.
Source: RNAcentral